Molecule: long non-coding RNA, 10570 nt
Organism: Branchiostoma floridae (Florida lancelet)
Lineage: Eukaryota; Metazoa; Chordata; Leptocardii; Amphioxiformes; Branchiostomatidae
Exons: 3
Source: RefSeq, a predicted model, not a curated record
CAAGGUUGGGGGUUCGGGCGCCAAAACGUCGCGAACUGAACUACUUAAUAUUCGAUCUUCUUUGGCUUACACGUGAAUUCAGUCUCGCACAUACUUUUCAAUAUUUAUGAGCACGCUCUGAGCACGUGGCGACUAAAGAUCCGAACCCAGACGUGCCGAAGAGAGGCCGUCUCCCUGAGAUCUGCCGGAAAUUUUUCGGUGAGUCUUCCUGGAGAAUUUUCCGAUCCAUCUCUAUCUUUCGCCGAUGAUAUGGCUUCUCCCGAUUCUAUCGUUGUAGCUAGGCGCUCUUUCGUGUCACGGCUCGAGUUGUAUAUUCGCCGCACGCCUCUGACUCAGUGUUUUCAAACCCGAAAGGUCUGCCCUGAUUUUGAUCUUCAAAGUCACCCAGUAGUACAUUACUUUGGUUCGCCCGGAUGCACUAUCCCCAGGUUUAGGGCUGAAAUUCUGCCUAGGCUGCCGUUGGUGGCCCCGUCUAUUGUGUAUGUUGAGCUGGGCCACAACGACCUGUGUGUCUCAUCCCGCAAGCCUCCCACUUUUGUGGCCGGGGAGCUGUUUGAUUUAGCAGGAGAAAUUGGUUCAAUCCCCUCGGUCAAACACGUCAUAUUGGGCCUGCCCAUGUGGCGUCUGUUGAUGCCCCCAUGCAAUCCAAACAUUAAUGAUGACUUAAAUUUCGUGCCUUCACCCAAUCACUGAAAUCACGUUGCGAAGGGUCCCCCAAAAUCUUCCCCCUGCGGCAUGACCGCCUGUUUCGGAAUAAUGCCACCUACUUCGAUUACGACGGCCUCCAUUUAUCGGGAUACGGAAAUUUCAUCUACUACAAGAGUGUUCGGGGAGCCCUUGUGGCUGCCUUAAAAUCAGGUUAAGAUUUUUAGAUAUCUGGAAUUCGGCGGACUCCCGUCCAACAUGACAAGAAAACAAUUAGCGUUUGUUAUAUAUCUGGGACCCGGGUGGCGGAGUGCCGCCCAUUUUGCUGAACUUUGUUGUUGUCACAUAACACAGCUGGUAAUUUAUUAAAUUCCUCUUUUCCUGGUUUGUUUUUCGUGUACGUGUUCUUGCAUUUUAAUAUGUUUAUUUCCCUGUCAAGAAAUUUUUGUCUUCUUAUUUCGUUCACCUUGACGUAAUGUUACAUCUAUUUACCAUUCGAUUUUGCAACAUCGGAUCCACGGUGGAUAGCUGUAAUCUUUAAGCCAUUCCUGUGAUCAAAACUGGUUAUAUGCCCCCUGCACCCCUCUCCAAAAUGUGUCUAUCUCACAAUUUACGACAUUGAGGAUUUUAUUUUCAAAUAUGUGGCGUAAUCAUAUCCGCCGGUUCUAUAUUGGCCCGUCGCAUGUCGCUCUGUUUUGGCGCCUUGUUUAUAAUACUGUCGAUCUUGUUGUCCCGCGCAUGGCGGGUUUUGGUUGCUAGAUUUAUGAAGAAUUGACUCUCCCAAAUAUUUCACAUGUCAUGGUUUGAGGCUGUUAAGUCGACAAUCGAAUGUAUUAGAUUUGUAAAGAAGUAGAAAUGCUCGAUUAUUUCUUUAUAUGGGUUUACAGAAGUACCUAAGUGUUUACAUUAUACCGUCGAUUCUCAUGGCUGUAUUUUUCCUAAGUCUCGGGCGGAUUGCCCGAGCUUUAUGAAUAAAACACACCUCCUGUUUCCGCCAAACUUGAUUGGUUAGAGUUAUUAUUGCAUGGAUGUGAUUUUAAAGCCUUGCUCGGAAAUGAAAAAAGACUUUGCGAUGCAAAAGAGAAACCAUUUCAUAUGUAUGAAGAUUGGUCUUAUGGCAUAUGACAAAAGCCCAAACUUAGAACAUACAGAUUAUAUUAAGGAUACCUAUUGCACAGAUCGUUAUGUAACAAUGAACCUUAGUAAAAGCCAAAGAUCUCUUUGUGCGCAGUUGCGGGCGGGAAUAUUACCAUUGUAUAUUGAAACCGGACGGUACCAAGCAAUACCUGAGGAAAACAGGGUUUGUACAAUGUGCAGUCUGGGUGAAGUAAAAAACGAGUCACACUUUCUUUUCUACUGCCUUUUUUCAGAUGACUUAUGCGAAAGUAUAUUUUGCAAAAUAUGUCGAGGUUGCAGCAGGAGAAAACGAUCAAGGAGCUGAACUGCACGAAAACAGAGAUUUUCAGGUCCUGGCGACUGCAAAAAGGAAGAAAGAAGAAGAGCAGAAUUCAAACGGACACAUGGAAGAAAGGGUAACACUCAGAUUAUCUGAUGAAACCAAUAUCUGUUCAAAAUCCGCUCAAAAUAGAUAAUUAAUGGACAGUAUACAUUUAUUUAUUUAUUACACCUUUCUUUAGGAAGACGAAAAUUAACAUCCAGUCAAAAAGCACCUUUGCAUGUAGAUAAAGCGUAACUGUAGUUUCUGUCCUGUCAAGCAAUAUUGAAUAACCUGAUUUAAAAAAAAGAAGAAAACAUGACAACCAGUGAUGGCGUCAUCUUGUGUACAUAAGAAAGAAUGUUAUUGCUUAUGUAUGUGCAGUUCAUAAAGUAAAAGUGGGCAGUGAUGUAAAGGGGAAUUAUUUGAUUUCUAUAGAUGCCUUACAUUGCAUGGGGAAACCCCCCAAGAUGAAAUCUGGCUAAAAGACGUGGGAAACCAUGGGGAGGCUCAUUAAAAAAUGACCUUCCAUGUACAAAACAGGGAACGUCCGUACUCUUUGUUGAUGGAAAGCAACAUCACCCCAUCAGCCACAAGCACAGUGCCAGAGCCAUGUGGUAUUUGCCAGUGUUUUGUGUACCUGCCCGUGCAAGUACUGUGUGCCUAUGUGUUCUGCUUUGCAUGCUUACACAAGUUGUUCCAGAUAGCUGAAAAUAACAAUGCUGACUGUGCUAUAUGCAAAGCAAAAAUAAAGGCAAGUGACCUGACACCUGUUCACAGGACCUGGAGGUCCUGCUAUGCUCAGUUAACUUUUAACUGCAGAAACUGUUGUGCACAGAUGAGGCUGGAUGAGCUCAAGUACCAUAAUGAAUGUACUACAAAUACAAAACAAAUGGCUGGUCCUUCUCACACAACAGCACCGCCUCUGCCAGCUGGAAGGAAAUAUCUCAUUAUUAUUAUUAUUAUUAUUAUGAUGGUACCUCGCACUAACACUCAGGUGAUCCCACCAUCUGUACAUGAACCUGUACCCCCUUAUUUUCUUCCUUCUUUGUCAAUAUCAUUUUCAAAAAAAAAAAAUGUGCAUACCGGACCACAUGCAGAAGCACAUGCAGAAGCAACGUUACAGGGGCCAAGCACUAAACCAAAGUUCAACGUUCAGAGGUUACACGUGCUUUCUUGACCGAGAUAGAAGAACAAUUUGUUCGAAAGGCAAUCUUCCGAGCUAGCCCGCUAGAAUUGAAAGAUUAUCGCUUGUUUUCGUGAAAUGGAAAUCUUACCUUCUAUUGUGUCGUGAAUUGUCUCUUUUAGAUUCUCAGCGCUGGAUUUGAACAGUAAUGUACACUGUUGUGGUAGGUGAGAUUAUCUUACUUGAGAUGAUGGUAACGUUUUAUUCGUUGCCUAGCAUUGCCACAAUAUAAGUUUGGAAACUUUUCAGGCACAUGUACACUGAUGCCUCCGACUUAACUUUGUUAUAAAUAUAAGUCUUUGAGUUUGUAGCCGGUGUUUAUUCAUAGUUUGUCUCAGUCAAUAGCCUACUGAUAGCAAAAUAGCGAACACCAGAGUGUUAAUUGUGUUAGAAAGAACUGUUGUCAGCGGGUAACGAAAAGGGCACGGAGUCUUUCACAAAAUUUAUAGAUUUACUUGACUGAAAACAGAUUUACUUGAAUGAAAACUGUUAAGUCAAGGGUAGUAUAUCCGUUAUUCGGUGUUUUACUGACAGAUUCUUGUCAGGAUGAAGGAACUACAUACAGGCGUUAUCAAAUAGACAGAACCCGUCAUUGCCAAAAUGUGUCCUGAAAUAAAGCUAGCUACUGACUGGUGUGGGUAACAGUCAGUAUUGGGAGCGACCCAAUAGAACCAUGAAGAGGGUCAAGACUAGUCUGCACUGCAGCAUGAAAAUAGAUAUACUAAACCAGUUUCUUACAUUUACAUUCAUUUACUGGACAGGUUACAUUUCACUCUAAUGCAGCUGCAACAUGCGGGGGCACGAGAAAUCGUAAGAUCUUUGUAAAUGUCUGUUUCUUAGCACUGACAUUAUAGUCAUUCCUCACCGUACUAGAAAUUUAUUUGUAUUUAAUUGGGAUUCAAUUGCGGUCUCCUUAUUUCUUCAUGUCUUUACAUUUACAGCUCAGUUUAAUUAAUUUAGAAGGGCAAACAAAGAAAUUACACCCUUGUAGAUAGAAGGUAAGUUGUAAAUGCCCUACCUAGUGGUGCCAAUAGAAGGAAUAGAGGCGUGUGUCUAUUCAAAAGCUUGAAAAAGUAUGAGAUUGUACAAAAUACGACAAGCCCAAAACAAAAGUCGGAGCUAGACCUUCAGAUUUAACACCACCUGCAAGGAGUCGGCCAUGUGCCUGCCCUCAGCUUCGGAAAGCAAGAAUCUACUAUGGCAAAGAUAAACUUACCGAUGUAUGAAGUAUAUCCUUGUGACAUAGUUCAUAUCACAAAAGAGCACAUCAAGAACGUGCUAGAAGAGUCACCACAUCAUCUGUGCCAACAUGGCAAGGAGAAACGACAGCUACAGUUAAGGUGUGGAUUAUAGAAAACAUUUGUUCAUGAUAACGGCAGCCCUGUACGAACAUUAAGGCAACCAUAAUGCGGUACAUAUAUAAUACUCACUAAAGAAUAAUCGAACACAAGAAUAACACCCAUCCAGAUACUACGGUUUGCAAACCAGAUGAACGCACACACAAAUCUACUAAGGAAGGUAAUCGGAACCAAAACAAUGGCAAUGACAUCAAGAAAAUUGUAUGUAACUUAUUUUCACUCUCUUUCUACUCAUGCACCCAUCCUAUACGGACUGGUAAACCUAAGGUCACUCAAUGCCGAAGACCAAGAAAGUCUGUUCUUCAAGCUGAAAGGGAUCAGCAAUCCGAUUCAGCUGAGGAUAUGCGUUUACGAUGCUUCGAGGCUAAACUUCAUUAGAAUGGCAACCAAUCAAGAGCAGAGAGUGCGGAGUCUGCCUUGAUCCCUGUGUGUGGUCAAGACGACAAUUCUCCAUCAGUACAGUUGAUCCAGAAGGGUGCCCCUCUGAUAGGGAAACAUAUCCAGCUGAAAACGUGUGCAGAGAGUAAAGGUAUCACAAAUAAAUUUUAUUUUUUGAUAACGUCAUCUUCAUUUGCAGGCAUAGACUACUAAGGAAAUAGAACCCACAUGCAUUUUGUGCUAAUCAAUCUAAUAUGCAUCAAAACAAAAACUUACAGUUGUUGCUUUGCACAUAUGGUGUCACUACAAACUUGACAUGAAUUGUUUUCCCACAAGGUUUUCCAAACAAAGGUCGUCAACAUUGAAACUUUACAGGCAGGACUUUACUGCUGAUAGUGAUUACAUUUACAUGUUAAAUUAAAAUACUCCAUACAGAUAUAUGUAUACUACUGCAGUGCACAUAGUCAAACAUGUUUCUUUUAUAGGUUGUCUGUUUUCAAAACAGGCAAGAAUUGCUUGCAGUUUCUGAAAAGUGUUCAAAUGCCCACUGAAUAAACUUCUACUUUGCACAGUUGUGUGCGUCAACUCUGACAUGACAAAUUACAUUAGCAAACCAUGUUGUUUAACUGCACUAUGAUGUCAUUGUUGUUCGGUGUUUAGGACUAUCAGAAUUUUUUUCUGAUCCUAAUGUUUAGUACAUAAAUAUUAUGUUAUAAUUUUUUUAAAAUUAAUUUUUCACAAAGAGGAUACGAUAGAUUAUGUUUAAUUUUUUACGAUGACAGCAAGGGAAAUAUUUGUUGUAGAUGGGGCCUUAUGUAUCAUCCAAUUUACACAAGAUUAUGGUAAUUCUUUACAAUAAAUCUUACGCAUUUCCGACAAUAUAAUCAUGUGGCUAGAGUACAGAGGACAGCACGAAAAGACACUGUCUAUUUUUGUAUGACUAGGCUUCCUUACGUAACACAUAUACAGCUCAAUGCACAAACAGGAACCGCAUCAUUCACAUAAUAUGAAAAAAGAUAUAGAAAAACAAACAUAACCAGAUACAAAUGGCGAUGCAGACUACGAGCUAAUAGAGGAAGGGAGCACGGCCCAAAACAGCCCCAAGUCUGGGCCCCCUGUAGACACACACAAGGGGUCGUCUUCAGCUACAACGUCACGCCCCCCUGACGUCUCAGCUUCAAGGUCACGCCCCCCUGACAUCUCAGCUUCAAGGUCACGCCCCCUGAGGUCUUAGCAAACUGAUCUCUGACUGUUUUCUUUCUUGUUAGGUUUACUUCGAAUUAGUUAACAGCUGAAAUUUAAAAAAAGAUUAUAAGUUAAUUGCACUGUCUUUUGUAACUCAGAGGAAAGGGUUAUCAAAUAACUCUUGCAAAUUUGACAGGAUUUUUUUAAUGCUCCCAGUAAUUUUCCCGUAAUGAGUGUAAUGAACAGCAGUUUACUGAUCAAAGGCAGGCAUGCAAGAUGAUGAACUGAACUAUUUUUUAAAUGGAAAUUACCUCUGGUGUACAUGGAAUACCCUGUGAACUUUAUAGAAAUUUCUUCUCAGUAUUCCAAGUGCCUGAUCCUUUUAAAUUUGUCACAAGGUUGUCUGUCAAACAAACAGAAGCAAUGCAUUAUAUAUAUUCAUUGCAAAAAACAGGGAACUGAUGCCCAAUAUAAGGACCCAAAUUACACAAGACAAUUUUUGGACUCGUGCUAAUUCCAUAAGAUGAAGAUUUACGCAUUUCGGACAAAACAUCCCUGUGGCUAGAGGGAGGGCGGCACUUUUAGGCCUAUUUCUUUACCACUAGGCUGUCUUAUGUGACCAAUAUACAGCUCAAUGCAAACAGAGGAAGCGUAUCAUCAAUAAAACGUAGGCAACAAGAGCUCGUAAAAAAGGAUACCUGGGUAGCCAAAUAUACUUCUGAUAAAAUGCAUAUAGGAAAGGUUAUCAUUUGAUGGUGGGAUUUCUAUUCAUAUUCUAAGCAGUCAAGACGAAGUGCGACACAACAACUCAGCUGUGAAGGCAGAAUGGAUUGACGUUAGGAUUGCAGAGCUCGAGGUUCUGUUGGAGAAUCAGAUACAACACGCCAUUGUAUCUUUUAUCAAUUGUAUAUUCUAUCAAUGUGGCUCUGAAUCUAUAUCCGUAACUUAAAAGAUUAUUCAGAAGGACGUUAAAACCAACCUUAUAUCGAAUAUAGUGUAUUCUAUCAAUAAUUGUAUGGUUUUGAUUAUACUAGAUCAAUGUCACAGCACAAAGCGUUACCAGACCAUACAUUUUUUUCAGCAGUUAAAGAAUAAUAUUUAGAUUCAUAUAGAACAACAGUGCGGAGAAAGGUCUUAUACAACUCUCAUGGAUGUGGAGGAUAAGGACUUAUUAACCUUUAUUGACGGCAUUAUGGAUCCCCAAAAUAUAUCAUAAUACUGGUUUUAAUCAAAGCCUUUGUCAAACACAUAUAUCAUUGUCUUUGAAUAGGGGUAAUUUCCAUUGAUACAAAUAGACAAGGACGUAAUGAAAAUUGAGAGUCCAUUGUGUCAAAACGCAAGGGAUUUGACGUUCCUAGAAGGAGGGUUAUGCCUGAUGAUAGAGGAAGAGAGAAUCUUCAUGUCGAUGUAAGGAAUCCCAAAGGGGUGGAGGUCGGUGAUUUAGAGAACCUAGACCUUAGUGAGACUAAGGGAGGUGAAACUAGGAACCCUCUUUGGAUGGAGGGGUAUGGGACCUUUGUGGGACUGAAGGUGGUGAGGAACACUUUGAUAGGAAGUUGAGUGCGGUAUAGAAACUCUCAUACAGUACUUAGUGCUACGGAAGAGUCCUCAAGUGAGGUGUUAAGUGUAAGCAAAGUUAGUGGUAAGGACGUCAAAGGAAUACAACCUCUAUUCUGUUUGUAUUUAGGUAUUUAGAUAUUGAUGUAUCCGUCCGCGCAGUAAAAUACUGGCUACGGCUGAAACAAUUGGACAUCUCUACACACCCAUUAAAGUUGGACGCACUACUCUGUCAACAACACAAUAUAGAAAAUUGUGGUAAGAAAAGUUGGCUGCGUCAUAUUAAAGAAAUAUUAGAUAAUUCAGGCUAUUCAUUCUUAUGGAACACUAAUUACCCUACACCAGACAGUAAGAACAUAUGUACUUUGUUAAAGAAAAGGCUGUCUGAUAUGUAUGUUCAAUUGUUCUUUCACCAAUUGUAUGUAGAUAAUGGCAAGUUAAGGUUUUACAAAAGUGUUAAAUCUAAGUAUUCAAUGGAAAAUUAUCUGUAUCUUUAUAAGUUUGAUGAAAGGUCUGCCAUAUGUAAGUUAAGAAUUAGUGCACACCCAUUAGAGAUUGAAAGAGGCCGCUAUAAAAAGCUACCUGUCCACGAGAGAUUUUGUAAAUAUUGCUCAAUGAAUGCGGUGGAAAAUGUAAUACAUUUUAUUUGCCAGUGUCCUCACUAUGAGGUUGAAAGAAACCGAUUGUUCCAAACAAUCGCUACAAUUUCACCCAGUUUUUGCAACCUAGGACAUCGCCAAAAGACUACAUUUUUACUGAAGUCACAAAAUAAACUUAUUUUGCAGGGUGUGGGACAGUUCAUUAACCACUGCCUUCUAAGAAGAAGUCAAAUCCAAUAAUAAGAUGCAACUUCAGCUGAAUAGACAUUAGUGCUAUGUACUACAUUGUAUUUUGUUUCCCUUGAGAAUGUUCCUGCAAUUAGCCUUCGGGCAUGACUUUGCAAAUAAACUUGUUAUUCUGUUCGUUUGACACAGGGGCAUUGGCGCUUUGUUAAUUUUCUUAAAGUGUAAGUUUACGAUUCUAUCGAAUUCCGGAUUACCCCGUCCCACGACGAGUAGCAAUCUACUGUCCUCACCAUCACCACAGUCUGAGGGGCAACAAGGAAUAGAGCUAACUAGAGAUGUCUAUGUCGGGGUGACAUGCCCCUCGCAGAAGCAAGCGAAGAUAAAUGACAGAUGGGGUUAUAAGAGAAAAGUAAACAAAUUUAACCACAUAUUUACAGGCAUCUAAACACAUUUGACCAUUUAUCGACAGUGAACAUUUUGGUGCUAUUUUCUAGCGGUAUCAGUGUAUAUUCUGUCUGUGGAGGAUAUUCGGUUGCUACACUAGCGACGCUCACUAUCACAAAUUUUCUACGGUGUAGGCUGGUGUCAAGUUACUGGGAUUCCCGCCGCUUUUCCGGCGGUUAUCCGGUUACCGGGACUCCCGCGCCUUCUCUUCGAGCUAAACAUUUACUGCAAAACAAAUUUUCUCAAUAUUAUUUUUUUACCUAAUUGUAAAUAACGCUUGAAGGUAUUUAGGAAACAACAUAUUUUAUCACUUGAGACCAUUCAUAAAGCACAGAAGAUACCGUUUGUAUAAAGAAAUUUAUGUCCAGUAUGCUACUUAUAAUUUUUGUCAGAUAGCCUUUGCAGUUACACUUUAGAGAUAAAAUGAUAUGAAAACGUACAGAAUUUAUAUCGAGAAAUGAAUAGUUAAAAUUAUUUUUCUACAAAAGUUUUCAGAUUAUGAUAUAUCAGGCACCUUUUGAAAUUACAAGGGUAAUAUGAUACAUAGGUAAGACUCGAGCAGCAGAACAUUAUUUGACAAAAAGAAGCUCACUACUUGACAGACUGGACAAUGUCAAUGCAAGUGAGAGUUGUGCAAUUUGUGAAGACUGAGCCAGGUGACAAUGCUGUGGCAGAGAUCAAAGGUUGAAAUAAUGACAAGGUUGAAAUAAUGACAAUCGGCAUCGCUAAAGCAAUCGUGAACGCGCCCGCGAUGUACUGUGUAAAUAUGAAAGUGUUGAUCACUGGAAUUAGCCUAUUAUGAGGCUAAUUGUGGAUCUAAAUAAUAUAACUCAACUAAACUGCCGCUGCAGGAAAAAAUGUCACUCAAAAUGUCACUCAACUUUUUCGCCCAUGCCUUCCUUGAACGUGACUACAUAGAAUUAAUGUUUCACCUGUGCGUGGCAAGCUGGCCAUUAUCAGACUAUUGAUCACCUACUUUCGAAAUUUAUAUCUUGCAAAUAAAUCAAAAAUAAAGACAGCUUAAACAACUUUCAAAAGUGUUCCGACAAUGACUUUGAGAAGAUGAUGCGUUUCCUCAAGGUAAUGAAAAUCCCUUAUAUGACCACAGUUGCAUUGUCGUCCGAGAAAAUACCAGCCUCUGGACAAGUGCUGCCUAUGCUCCACAUACAGGAACAGUAUUUGGCUGACAAAGACGAGAUUACAAAAGAUAUACAUUAGGAAAUAUCUCAGUCAGAUACAGAGAGGAUGAUAGAAGAGGGUUCCUUUGAGCCCGUGGUGUAAGGGUGUGGUUUUCCAAGAGGACGUUUGUAAUCGGCUUACUAACAAGGUAAUGAUAAGGACCCCAAAGAGAGCUUCAGGCUUUUGAAUGCUUUCGGAAUGUGUGUCCAGGUACGCCUUUUGGACAAUAUAACCAUAUGGAUAGAAGGGAGGUAUGCAUCGGAAAGGCACUGCGAUUUUGUGUUUCAUUAACAUAAUGUAGCAAAUCAGAGCUCGAAGAAAAGGAUACCCCGGUGACCUGAUAUACAUUUAACAAAAUGUAUUUAUGCUUUAAGGCUACAUUAGUAUUGUAAUUAGCUUUUUACUCUGUAUAUAAUGA